GNAGAAUGCCCUAUGGGUAGUAAACUGCUUUUAUACAGGAAGAAAAAGAGCUACGUGUAGCUUACUGACGGUACUGUAAGAAUAAGGACCGGCUAACUCCGUGCCAGCAGCCGCGGUAAUACGGAGGGUCCGAGCGUUAUCCGGAAUUAUUGGGUUUAAAGGGUCCGUAGGCGGGCCGAUAAGUCAGGGGUGAAAGUUUGCAGCUCAACUGUAAAAUUGCCUUUGAUACUGUUGGUCUUGAGUUAUAGUGAAGUUGCCGGAAUAUGUAGUGUAGCGGUGAAAUGCAUAGAUAUUACAUAGAACACCGAUUGCGAAGGCAGGUGACUAACUAUAUACUGACGCUGAUGGACGAAAGCGUGGGGAGCGAACAGGAUUAGAUACCCUGGUAGUCCACUGCUGCCUCCCGUAGGA
This 411-nucleotide ribosomal RNA is filed under the name Maribacter sp. Asnod2G09. RNAcentral describes it as "bacterial SSU rRNA". It matches the Rfam family "Bacterial small subunit ribosomal RNA", at positions 407 to 814 of the family's 1533-position model. The record is from RNAcentral. Lineage: Bacteria; Pseudomonadati; Bacteroidota; Flavobacteriia; Flavobacteriales; Flavobacteriaceae.